UGGGGAAUUUUGGACAAUGGGCGAAAGCCUGAUCCAGCAAUGCCGCGUGUGUGAAGAAGGCCUUCGGGUUGUAAAGCACUUUUGUCCGGAAAGAAAUCCUUGGCUCUAAUACAGUCGGGGGAUGACGGUACCGGAAGAAUAAGCACCGGCUAACUACGUGCCAGCAGCCGCGGUAAUACGUAGGGUGCAAGCGUUAAUCGGAAUUACUGGGCGUAAAGCGUGCGCAGGCGGUUUGCUAAGACCGAUGUGAAAUCCCCGGGCUCAACCUGGGAACUGCAUUGGUGACUGGCAGGCUAGAGUAUGGCAGAGGGGGUAGAAUUCCACGUGUAGCAGUGAAAUGCGUAGAGAUGUGGAGGAAUACCGAUGGCGAAGGCAGCCCCCUGGGCCAAUACUGACGCUCAUGCACGAAAGCGUGGGGAGCAAACAGGAUUAGAUACCCUGGUAGUCCACGCCCUAAACGAUGUCAACUAGUUGUUGGGGAUUCAUUUCCUUAGUAACGUAGCUAACGCGUGAAGUUGACCGCCUGGGGAGUACGGUCGCAAGAUUAAACUCAAAUGGAAUUGACGGGGUCAUAGCUGUUUCC
RNAcentral lists this ribosomal RNA (583 nucleotides) under uncultured bacterium. Its description in RNAcentral is "partial 16S ribosomal RNA". It matches the Rfam family "Bacterial small subunit ribosomal RNA", at positions 355 to 937 of the family's 1533-position model. The record is from RNAcentral.